RNAcentral lists this small nucleolar RNA (67 nucleotides) under Fulmarus glacialis (Northern fulmar). The record is from RNAcentral. Lineage: Eukaryota; Metazoa; Chordata; Aves; Procellariiformes; Procellariidae.
UCCUCGACGGUCGCCGCGCAGUUUGAGCCUCCGUAACUGUGCGGCAACAUUUCGGGAAAAUACACGG